CCCUGGAGGACUAGUGGUUAGACCAUGGUGCUCUCACUGCCCUGGCCCGGGUUCGAUUCCCGGCAAGGAA
RNAcentral lists this transfer RNA (70 nucleotides) under Pangasianodon gigas (Mekong giant catfish). RNAcentral describes it as "tRNA-Glu". Lineage: Eukaryota; Metazoa; Chordata; Actinopteri; Siluriformes; Pangasiidae. The record is from RNAcentral.